CAGUCGCCGCGGGAAUACGAAGGGGGCUAGCGUUGUUCGGAUUUACUGGGCGUAAAGCGCACGUAGGCGGAUCGAUCAGUCAGGGGUGAAAUCCCAGAGCUCAACUCUGGAACUGCCCUUGAUACUGGAAGUCUUGAGUAUGGGAGAGGUGAGUGGAACUGCGAGUGUAGAGGUGAAAUUCGUAGAUAUUCGCAAGAACACCAGUGGCGAAGGCGGCUCACUGGCCCAUAACUGACGCUGAGGCACGAAAGCGUGGGGAGCAAACAGGAUUAGAUACCCGCGUAGUCCCUGUCUCUUAUAA
RNAcentral lists this ribosomal RNA (301 nucleotides) under uncultured bacterium. RNAcentral describes it as "partial 16S ribosomal RNA". It matches the Rfam family "Bacterial small subunit ribosomal RNA", at positions 509 to 809 of the family's 1533-position model. The record is from RNAcentral.